This is an RNA transcript of Gymnodraco acuticeps, 8131 nucleotides long. It is a transcript of the gene named DNA (cytosine-5)-methyltransferase 3A-like, with no coding region annotated. Lineage: Eukaryota; Metazoa; Chordata; Actinopteri; Perciformes; Bathydraconidae. The transcript is spliced from 30 exons. The record is from RefSeq and is a predicted model, not a curated record.
UGGCUAGCGGGUCUCUCUACGGGACAGCCUCCUGCCUCGGUCGUCCAAUGGAUCAUUCCCGGCUAGAGAGGACGUCACAAGGGAAAUGUGCUUCGGGAAGAAGCUAAUGUUCAGCAUCUGUUUCUACCGUUUCUACAGGGGAAACGGAGAGAGAGCUGUGAGAUGGCGAGUCCCGUGCUUGUGACUCCGGAGUCCAACAGCAAAGAUAAAAGCAGCAGUCACUAUCUGGUGGUCUGGAUAAACAAUCUGCUGAAGACCCAAUUCAAAGAUGUGCGGCAGAUGGGUUCAGGUGCGUGCCACUGUCAGAUGAUGGACUUGGUCAUUCCCGGCUCUGUGGACAUGACCCAGGUGAAGUUUGAUGUGCAAAGUGACGACGACUGUAUGCACAACUUCGGUCUCCUCUGCAAGGCUUUCGACAAGAGCAGCAUCACUAAGACAAUUCCAAUCGUGGAGCUCAUACGAGGGGACUCUCAAAUCAACUUCGAGUUCAUAAAGUGGUUCAAAGCUCUCUACCUGGCCAAUCAGAAAAGGCAAGGGUACAACCCUGUGAGAGCUCGGGGGGGAAAGAAAAUCAGCCCCACUGUCGCAACCACUAACCUGCUUAUAGAGGAUUUCCAGAGCUCAUCCGGUAAUUUCCUUUUCAAUGAAAAGUGGAUGUAUAUUUACGACUGGGCCGACCAGAGCCCUCUCGGAGAUAACUACACCUACUGCCGCACCUGCAACCGCAGCCUGAAGACAUUACAGAGAGGCCCCGUUGAACUCCGGCGACAUGCGGACACUAACAAACACAAGAAAAGGACUCUAAUCUACCAGAAGACCGUGAGGCAGAGCCAGCGGUCCGAAACGCUGCCGUGUAGCGACGCCGCCGUUAGCUUCAUCAACAAGCACUGCUACACCGGCCCGGCUAAAUCUGAACACAAGGCUCGACUCUUUGCUCGCUGUCGUUUGGGGUCUCAGUAUCCCAAAGAUAUCACCUCCGCCUGCCAGCGCACGCCUUACUGCCUGUACAUCUUCGGAGGGGAACCGCUGGGAAAAGACCACUCCGUGGUCCUCGUUGGGUUUUUUGACGUCGACGCCUCCGGUCAUUGCUUACAAUUUCUGGAUGCUCUUCAGUCAGAGGACAGCACCGGAGAGAAAAAAAAAGCCACGGCGGUGGUGGAGACGGUGAAGAAGUUCGGGUUGCACACGGAUAAUCUCGUGGCUGUUUAUUCGGAUGACGAUGGCGCGGAUUCAGAGCAGAUCUGCACACAACUCAGGGAACUCAACCCCAAUAUAGUCGCUAUAGGAGGGCUGUACGCCAUCGCUGAUGCUUCCUACCACGCUGGGAUCAAGGCGCUCUCCAAUCAGGUCCAAGAGUUCAUAGUAGAUAUGCACACCCACCACUCCUCCUGCUCUACGAAGAACGAUGACCUCACGGCUGUUUUCGGCUCAGACAUCAGUGCAGACGAUCCGUUUGAUCUCAACUCCGGCUGCCUUAAGUUCUGCCUGUUAGUCACUAAUAUAUUGGAAGUAUGGACGGAUCUCAUCGCGUACUUUAAGUCUUGUGACGGCAAAGAUGAGAAAGCCAAGUCCGUCUGCUCCCAGCUGCAGGAUCCCAAAGUCAGAGCCACGUUUCUGUUCCUGCAGCACGCUUUAAAACCUCUGCACAGUUUCCAGAGUCGCCUGCAGACGGAGGAGGAAGUGGACCGAGCCGACAUGCUGCUCAUCCUGCAGGAGGCCAGUAAACUGCUGAGCACCUACACCUCAUACUUCCUCCGUCCUGAGGCUGCUGAUCGCUUCCUCAAGGAACGAGACGCCCAAAUCCUUAAAGACAAGAGUUUCCAUCUGUCUGGUUCUGAGAUCAAUCUGGGAGGGAAAGCAGUGGAAGACUUCCUGAAGGAGUCAGAGGCUCUGUUCGAGGAGGAGGCGCUGUCUUUCUACGCCGCACUCACAGGUUGCAUUGCAGAGAAGCUUCCUCUCGGUGAGGAGACUCUCCGGAGCAUCUCUCAGCUGCUGAACCCUCGGAGCAGACAGGAAGUGACGGGGAAAUCAGUCGGGGAACUCGGGACUUCGCUGGGAAUCUGCAGCUCCGAGGAGGAGGAGGAACUCAUCGCUGAAUUCCUGGAGUACCAGAAGGCUGAGGAGGGGGAGAACUCUGCACAGGUACACAUGCUUACAAAAGAUGGAAAUACUGUUUCCCACAGUCCCGAGGUUCCUCUGGAGGAGCACUGGGCCAGCGUACUGAAGGACACUAAGCCCGGAUCAGGGUUCAGGAAGCUUGUUCUGACCCUGCUGGCUCUGCCCUGCCCGCCCCUGGAGGCGCAGCAUGUUUUUACCCAGGCUCUGGGAGCUGAAGAGGCCACGCUGUUCUCUGAGAGUGAAGCUUUAACAGAAAGUGAUUCUGAGCUCACGUCCGACGGAUUUCCCUCUGAUAACAACCGCUGCACGGACCCCCGAAUCCACUCUGAAGCAAUGAAUGGUCUCAAAGUAAAGCAUUGUGAAGUCCGCCUCACAAAGAUAAACGACGAUGAGAAUGGAGACGAUUGCAAAGAGAUGACCACUAGGGGAAGUUUUGGCUGGGAGAGCAGCUUGCGGCAGAAACCUCAGGCCCGCGCAGUGUUUCAGGCGGGUGUUAGCACCUGGUCCGCCCCCCAACCUAUUGAUCAGGACAGCAGAAAGGGUCUGGAGUCCCAGGAAGAGAGGUCUCAGGCAGAAGAAUCAUCUCCGAUCAGUAAACCCACUCCAAGAAAUCGCCGGAAACACGUCUACACGGACGGGAAGGGUUUCCUGCGCGGGGAGUUGAUCUGGGGGAAAGUGAAGGGUUUCUCCUGGUGGCCCGGGAUGGUGAUCCCCUGGAAAAGUAAAUCCUCUCCUCCCGGGAUGAGGAGGGUCGAGUGGUUCGGAGACGGGAUGUUCUCAGAGAGCUACACGGAGGGUCUCAUGGUCUUCAGUGCCUUCAAUAAGUGCUUCUGCAAAAACUCCUACGCCAGCCUGCCCGUCUACAAGGAAGCCAUUUACCAGAUCAUCGAGCUGGCUGGUGAGCGCUGUGGGAAGUCUUUCUCUGGAAAAGGAGGAACCAAAGAGAAGGAGCUGAAGCUGAUGCUGGACUGGGCCUCUGAGGGUUUCCUGCCCUCCGGCCCCAAGGGAUUCCUGCCUCCUGAUGCCGCCGCCGCCGCUCUUCAGGAAACUUCUGACUCGGCCCCGUCUGACUACCAGCCUCCACCAAAAAGGAAAUAUUUUUUAAAAAACAAGGCAAUCACACCCGCCAUCAUCUAUAACCGAGAAUUGAUAAGAGAAAAGGUCAAAGAGGAGGGGAGAACAAUUGAAGAUUUCUGCUUGUCUUGUGGAUCCACUGAGCUUCAGGUGCAGCACCCGUUGUUCGAAGGUGGUCUUUGUCUCAGAUGCAAGGAGAACUUCACAGAGACGCUGUUCCGUUACGAUGAAGACGGAUACCAGUCGUACUGCACCGUGUGCUGCGCCGGACAGGAAGUCAUUCUGUGUGGAAACACCAGCUGCUGCAGGUGUUUCUGUAAGGGCUGUCUGGAGAUCCUGGUGGGUCCGGGGACCUUCGACACUCUGAAGGAUAUGGAUCCGUGGAUCUGCUACAUGUGUAAACCCUCUCUGUGUGCCGGGAACCUCAAACUGAGGCCGGACUGGAGCGUCAAGGUCCAGGACUUCUUCGCCAACAACAGCGCCAUGGCCUUCGAGCCUCACAGAGUUUACCCCUCCAUCUCCGCUGAUCAGCGCCGACCAAUCAGAGUGCUCUCGCUUUUUGACGGCAUCGCAACAGGCUACCUGGUGCUCAAAGACCUGGGCUUUAAGCUCGAUCGCUACAUCGCCUCAGAGAUCUGCGAGGACUCCAUCGCUGUGGGGCUGAUAAAGCACGAGGGAAAGAUCGAAUACGUCAACGAUGUUCGAACCAUCACCAGGAAACACCUGGCGGAGUGGGGUCCGUUUGACCUUCUGAUCGGAGGCAGUCCAUGCAACGACCUCUCCAUGGUCAACCCUCUGAGAAAAGGAUUAUUCGAGGGAACUGGACGUCUGUUCUUUGAGUUUUACCGCCUGCUGACGCUCAUGAAGCCGAAGGAGGGCGACGACCGCCCGUUCUUCUGGCUGUUUGAGAACGUGGUGUUCAUGAGUGGCCACGAUAAAUCAGACAUCUGCAGAUUCCUGGAGUGUAAUCCGAUCCUCAUCGAUGCAGUGAAGGUCAGUCCUGCUCACCGAGCGCGAUACUUUUGGGGAAACCUCCCCGGCAUGAACAGACCUCUGGCUACGGCUAUGGAUGAUAAAGUCGGCCUGCAGGACUGCUUGGAACGCGGACGCAUGGCAAUGUUUGAAAAGGUCCGCACCAUCACAACAAAGUCCAACUCGAUCCGGCAGGGGAAGAUGGGCCCGCUGCCGGUCACCAUGAACGGAAAAGAGGAUUACCUGUGGUGCACGGAGAUGGAACAGAUCUUUGGCUUCCCCAAACACUACACCGAUGUGAACAACAUGGGUCGAGCUCAGAGGCAGCGAGUGCUCGGGAGAUCCUGGAGCGUCCCGGUGAUCCGACACCUGUUCGCCCCGCUGAAGGACUACUUUGAAUGUGAAUAACAACUGUGAACAACAACUGUAAACAACAACUGUGAACAACAACUGUAAACAACAACAACUGUGAACAACAACUGUGAACAACAACUGUGAACAGCUGAUCCUGCCUUACUAACACCACGGUAUUCAAUCUGUCCUGAUUCACUGUUCGACUUUUAGACGUGUUUUUCUCAUCGUUUUUAUCCGCUCUCACCAGCAGGCACCGACACUUCCUCCUCUCGGUGCGUUGAUCAAACUAUAAUCUACUCCUGAAGGACGAGGCGAGAUUAACGGGGGGUUAACUAUUUUUCUUUUGGGCUAAUCUCAGGUUAUCUGUUGUCACAAAGAUGGUUAAAAAACAUUUUCCUGACCGAUCAACUCAGGUGUAAAAAGUAUUAAUUCCUACAGGAAACACAAGCAGUCAAGACAUUUGUUUGCCUACCAUUAUAAUAAACAAUCAGGAUUAAAUGAGUCAGAGCUUUACUUCUAUCCAUUAUUGUUGGUUCAUCAUUUGAAAAAAGCCUUAGUAAUACUUAUUAAUAGCCUUCAUUUCCAUAUUUGGACAUCAUUUCAGGGUCUAUGCAGGAGUCCUGAAGUCAAAUGUAAGACCUUUUUUAAGACCCUUUCCACACAUUUUAAGACCUCAUCGUCACUUUGAGUUCUAACCGGUUACCUUGGCGACACACUUUACCUCACAUUGACUAUAUACAGCAUUGAUUGUCCUUCCUCCUUAUCUUCCAACCAUUUGGACGCAGACUUGCAUUUCCCCAUAACGAUGCUGUUUAACAACCGGUGUAAACGGACCUUUGCGCGCUAUCAAGCAGUGAGCGUGCGAUGUCCUGUUCAGAUGACGUCAGAUCCAACGGGAUGCCAUCAAUAAACUACACAGAAUCACACUACACACCUACGCAAUGAUUACAUUCAGGCAGACUGUAGAAUACAACCUCUUUGGACAAUUCAUAUACUUAUUGAAAACAAGCUACAAAAUGUAAAAAUGCCGUUUAAUACUUUUUAGAACUUUUUAAUAGCCUUCGUUUUCAACUUGUAAUGCUUUUUAAGACCCCGCGGACUUUAUGGCCUUUGCCAUAUCCAUAUUUGGACAUUAUCCAUAAUAUUUCUACAAGGGCUGGACCAAAUAUUCUAAGGUUUCACCAAAUUAGGAACAAAAUAUAAAUCAGAUUAUGUACGUUUCUGCAGCCCUGUUAUCAUAGUAGGAACUUUAAUUCUUCAUUCAUAGCUGGAUAUGUGGAUUAUAAAUUAACAUUUAAAUGUGCUUAAUGUGUCUGUGCAGAUACAGAUAAGACACUAAUAUCAUUUCAAUCAGGACAGACGGUUCUGAUGAAAGAAUACAUAUUUGUUGCCAGGAAUACACAAAUGAAUGUAAUGGAGUUUUGGCGAUUAGGCCCCUCAUUCAGGAGGGGAGAACCGAUCUGAUGAAACCCCCCGGGGUCUAGACCCUGGUGGUGGUGUAUGGAUAGUUGGGUUCGGUCUGAAGGGGAGGGGCUUAACUUGACCCUGGAUUCAGAGGGACAGGACGUGAAAAGGGGGAGAGGAGAGUUGCAUCGAGUCACCUGAAAUGACAGCUGUCAGAGGGGAGAGCAGAGUUAAAAAGGGUUAGCGGAGCGCUGUGAUAGGCUUGUGAGAAUAGAGCGAAGUGAUUGGUUAAGCUCGAUCACUUAUUGAGAGGAGAGACAGUAGUAACAUAGAAAUAGGAAAUUAAUGAGUAAAGACGGACUUCCUUGUUGAACUUGCGCUGAGGUUCAUUUGUUGACAUUUAUAAAAAAAAACAUUUUCGUUAAAUAACAUUUUUUUAAAAGCUCGUAAUGUUAAAGUAGGAACUUGUGUAACCAUUCAUAGCUGGAUAUUUGGAUUAUAAAUUAACAUUUAAAUGCUGCCGAUCACGUUAUAUACAUAUAAUAUAUAUUUAGUGAUUAUCUGUUAUUCAGCAUCAUUUUUAAUCCCGUUGAUCUCGCUCUGUGCUUCAGGCUCUACCUCAACAUCCAUCAGUCAGUAUUUCUGUAUUUUUACCGUAAUAUUUUACCAGGUUUCGAUCCAAACAUGUUCAUUGUCAGCUGAUUUUUGUAUACGUUUUAUGCAAAUGACAUUCAUCUCUCUGUGGUUCUUUACAGAAUCACUCACUGGUUGGUGCUAAACUCUUAUUAUCCUCCAUUAUUCUAUUACAAUGUCUGCUUUUAAUACCAAAAAUAUGUUCUGUCUAAUCAUGGAGAACAAACCAAGGCGUGUUAAAGAGCUUUUUUAUAAAAGUGACUAUUAAAGACCAGCUCGGUUCCACCUCAGGAACAAACCAUUUCUACUGGAAGAUACCAACUAAUACAGUCAUGUGUCUCUUUUUGUUUUUUUGAAGCCAUUUGGCACGAUUGAUUUUGUUUUAGAUAAAGAGGGUGAAACGUUAAAGAAAAAAGGAAAUAAAAAUAAUGAAUAAAAUGCUAAAAUCUCAUAAAAAAAUAUUAUAUUAGUUUAAUUUUUAGAAGUAGAGAAACACCAGCAGCUACUGUAAUAAAAGAUAAUUGAAAUAACAAUCAACGCAUUUAACUUGACCUCUUACGUUCAGUUUUCAGUCAUUUUUAGCGUUAAAUUAACCAACAAUGUGUAAAACUACAAAAGAUAUGGCUCCAAUAUAUCUAUGCUCAUUGGACAUUUGUUAUUAAAGUAGAAUCCCAAAAUACUUUUUGCAGCUCUGAUACAAACAAAGGAGGAGCUUCUUAAGGGCCGUGGUGAUUGUUCGAAGCCUUAUUCGUACUGAGAAUUACAAUUGAAUGUUGAUUUAAAUGCUAAAAAAGACUAAUUGGAUCCCCUGAAUGCCUUACAUUCAAAAUGUAGGAUUUUGAUAUGAUGACAGUCCUUUAUAGAAGCUUGGAAUGUGAAAUCCAAAGCCUUAAUCUUCGUUUAAUCCCAUAGUAACGUUUAUUUAGCAAACAAACCCACUGAUAUGGUCUUUAAAUCUCAGUGAGAAAUACAACAUGUGUGUUUUAACUAACUAAAAGUCUUAUUUUAGCCUUAUAAUGAACUCUUAAAUCAUCAACAGUGCUGCUAAUCUGUGCCUGAUUUAGGGUUUUAAUGUCACUUGUGUUUUUGUCGUUAAACAUGAAGAUAUUUGAGCUGCCUUCAGUGUGAAUCUGGGAUUUCCCCUGUAGUGUUUUCAACAUUUUAACUGGAGUCAAAUCAUAUUUCUGAGUCUCUUUUUACCUCAUUCUUUUGGGUGUUUUAAUUCCUGAUGGCGCUAAGCUAACGGCGCUAAGCUAACGGCGCUAAGCUAGCGGCGCUAAGCUAAAGGUGCUAAGCUAACGGUGCUAAGCUAACGGUGCUAAGCUAACGGCGCUAACCUUGCAUGUACAGUUUGUUUUUUAAUGGGCCGCAGCUCAAAAUGGAUUUCUUGUAGUCUGUUGUUGUUUUUCUGUGUGUUGAUGUUUGUUUUUUAUGAAAUGACAGUGAUAUCAGUAAAUAUUAGUGUGAUGUAAACAAAUUGAUGAUUAAAAAGUGCAAGAGGGAUUUGCAUGGGAUCUGUUUCCUUUUCAGGACUUUAUUGUUUUUACUGUUUUCUGUAAUUAAACUCAUACAUGCA